RNAcentral lists this long non-coding RNA (283 nucleotides) under Physcomitrium patens. RNAcentral's name for it is "long non-coding RNA (PPAT_LNC001536)". Lineage: Eukaryota; Viridiplantae; Streptophyta; Bryopsida; Funariales; Funariaceae. The record is from RNAcentral.
AACUCUGUAUUCUGUGUCCAUGACAGUUUGUCGAGACUUCACUCACCUUAGAUAUCAGAGCUAGUUUCUUCUUUGUUAGAGUGUAGAUUACCCCUUUGCUUGGAAGUGUACUAGCACUUUAGAGGUUGCGGAUUACCCUCCUCUAAACUGAUACUUCUUUUGUUACAAUAUUGGAGUCUUAUUCUUCUUGGAGAGAGUGGAUUACCCCUUUCCUUGAAGCUCUUAAGGCAUUUUAGAGGUUGCGGAGUAUCCUCCUCUAAACCAAUAUUGUCUUCUUGUAGAG